RNAcentral lists this transfer RNA (98 nucleotides) under Nocardioides sp. T2.26MG-1. RNAcentral describes it as "tRNA-Arg(ccg)". Lineage: Bacteria; Bacillati; Actinomycetota; Actinomycetes; Propionibacteriales; Nocardioidaceae. The record is from RNAcentral.
CGGUCCUGGCCGAGGAGUACGGCGUCCCCGCUCCCGAGGUGGGUGGUCUGGGCGAGGCCGUUCACGAGGCCGGCGUUCGGGUCGAAGAUGCCCGUCCA